Molecule: long non-coding RNA, 522 nt
Organism: Mytilus trossulus (common blue mussel)
Lineage: Eukaryota; Metazoa; Mollusca; Bivalvia; Mytilida; Mytilidae
Exons: 4
Source: RefSeq, a predicted model, not a curated record
UAAUGCCGGUUGCUACAAAAGUACAUUGACCAUUGCCACUUUACAUCAAGAGCUAGACAAGAAAAUAAAAUCCUACAAUUUUUGUGAGGCUCAGGAUGGGAAGGGCGCAUGUGACAGGAAGGCAUCCCAUAUCAAGUCGGCUAUAAAAAGAUAUGUAAACGAGGGCAAUAAUGUGACAACUGCACACCAAAUGAAACUGGCAAUUGAUUCGCAACAAAGAGGCCAGUACAUGGUGAAAGUGAUAAGUCCUGUUAUUAAUGCUGAUGAUGAUAAGGUCUCACUUAGAAGUAUUCCAUUGAUUUCUAUGCUCCAUAAUUUUAAGUUUACUGAUAAUGGAUUGCAAGUUUAGAGAGCUUAAGAUAUUGGUCAAGGAAAGUUGAUAUCAUGGAACAGCAUUAUUGAUAAGAAAAUUCCUGUGAUACAGCUUUUUGUUCAUCAUGAUUGGUCGUAUACCCAGUUUGCUACCGUGGGUUCAGUAGUUGUUGACAGAGAGGAUGAUGAUGGUGAUGAUGAUGAGGCGGA